This is a long non-coding RNA of Hemicordylus capensis (graceful crag lizard), 1069 nucleotides long. RefSeq lists it as uncharacterized. NCBI's taxonomy places the organism in Eukaryota, Metazoa, Chordata, Lepidosauria, Squamata, Cordylidae. The record is from RefSeq and is a predicted model, not a curated record. The transcript is spliced from 2 exons.
UAGCUCCAAUCCAACUGAAUAGGUCAUGUAUGGGAGUUUUUCCUCAGAGAAACAUGCUCUUUAUCCUUAAAAGUUCAGCUCCAUAGUCAAAGAAUUCGAGUCAGUGACACUAUCCUAUAUAAUAAAAGGCUAAGUGAGUGGCCAUGGCCUUGGAACGUUGGGGAUCUGCGUCCCUGCCUCCCUGGGCUGUUCUGGGCCUGCGCGAAGCGCAGGCCCAGAACAACCCAAGGGAGACAGGACCACCGACACCAGGCGGCCAUGCUGGCCAGUUCUAUUGCUGCCGCGUCUGUCUGCCCGGAGGAAAGGACACCGGGAAGGGAAAGACGGCGGGGGCGGGCAGCAAUCGGGACGGCAUUCUGGGCGGCACUCUGGGAGGCAGGGCCAAGGGGAAGACGGCGGUUGCGGGCGGCACUGAUGGCGGCGGAGCCAGCACUCACCAUCCGACCAGAAGCACAGAGGCAGCGACGGCACACCCUACCCGGCCGCAGGGAGGCAAUUCAGCAGGGAGGAAGGCGUGGGAGGCGGUCCUCUUGCCGCCGCCUCCUCAUCCCGUCCGGCGCCGGCGGCCGCAGCGGCGCCUCUGCCCAGCUUCUUCCUAUGCCUCCUUUUCCGGGUGGGGGGUUCCUCUAAAAAGGCUUUUCUGCUCCCAGCCUCCUCAAUUUGUUUGCCAGCAGCAUUCAAUGUCGAUUGAGUGAGAAAGCAACAAGGAUCAGAUUCUCUCAUGGUGCAUCAAUAUAAACCACCUGACAAUGAUGGCUUGUAACAAGGGCACUGGGUUUUGCAGCCACAUUAUUUGAACAAGUGGCAGCUCAGAGCGCUGUGUAAUUAAUCCAGGGCUGAAUAAUGAAUUGCAGUUCCCGUGCCUGUAAGGGGAGACUGACCCAGACCAGCAGAACCUGUCACACUACCAACAGUUCAAAACUUUUACUACUUUCUCACAGAAGACCGAGGUCUACUGAACAAAUGUCACAUGGACUAGCAUUUCAAUGUUUUAUUUGUAUGGCUGUGUAUUUAAUCACUUCCAUGCAGAAGUUUAACUAAUAGUUGUAAUAAACACAAAUUGAAAGUA